Molecule: ribosomal RNA, 253 nt
Filed under: uncultured bacterium
Lineage: Bacteria
Description: partial 16S ribosomal RNA
Rfam family: Bacterial small subunit ribosomal RNA
Source: RNAcentral
UACGAAGGGGGCUAGCGUUGUUCGGAAUUACUGGGCGUAAAGCGCGCGUAGGCGGCGCAGCAAGUCAGUGGUGAAAUCCCGAGGCUUAACCUCGGAACUGCCAUUGAAACUACUGCGCUGGAAUCUCAAAGGGGAUAGCGGAAUUCCAAAUGUAGGGGUGAAAUCCGUAGAUAUUUGGAGGAACACCGGUGGCGAAGGCGGCUAUCUGGAUGAGUAUUGACGCUGAGGCGCGAAAGCGUGGGGAUCAAACAGG